Molecule: ribosomal RNA, 233 nt
Filed under: uncultured bacterium
Lineage: Bacteria
Description: partial 16S ribosomal RNA
Rfam family: Bacterial small subunit ribosomal RNA
Source: RNAcentral
CGGGUGAGUAACGCGUGGUCAACCUUCCGUUGAAUGGGGGAUAACUAGCCGAAAGGUUAGCUAAUACCGCAUACGAUCUUUCGAAGGCAUCUUUGAAAGAUGAAAGGAGCAAUUCGUUCAACGACGGGACCGCGUCCCAUUAGCUAGAUGGUGGGGUAAUGGCCUACCAUGGCAACGAUGGGUAGCUGGUUUGAGAGAGCGACCAGCCACACUGGGACUGAGAGACGGCCCAG